This 321-nucleotide ribosomal RNA is filed under the name uncultured Oscillospiraceae bacterium. RNAcentral describes it as "partial 16S ribosomal RNA". The record is from RNAcentral. Lineage: Bacteria; Bacillati; Bacillota; Clostridia; Eubacteriales; Oscillospiraceae.
GGAGUCUGGGCCGUAUCUCAGUCCCAAUGUGGCCGUUUAACCUCUCAGUCCGGCUACUGAUCGUCGCCUUGGUAAGCCGUUACCUUACCAACUAGCUAAUCAGAUAUAAGUCCAUCUAUCAGCGGAUUGCUCCUUUCCCACUUGAACCAUGUGAUUCUUAUGGCAUAUGCGGUAUUAGCAGUCGUUUCCAACUGUUGUUCCCCUCUGAUAGGCAGGUUACUUAUACAUUACUCACCAGUCCGCCACUAACCGCUCUCAAUCUAUAAGAAUGAGUUAAGUUCGUUCGACUUGCAUGUCUUAUGUGCGCCGCCAGCGUUUAUC